AUAACUAACGAAAACCAAUGAAGAUUUGGUUAUGAAAAUACUUUUUAGAAUAAUUUUCCCAAGCUUUCCCUUCCCCACCCAUGCCUCCCCCAAAUCUUGCUCUUUUUGUCUCGUUUUUAAGAAGAGGCAACUGCAGCAUGUUCAUCGCAGAAAAAUCUUCAGAAUAGUUUCACUUAUUAAGACCUUUUCAUUGGAAAGGAGACCUUUAGGACCCCUCACUCUUUCAAAACAGAGAGACUUUGAUUUAUAUGAGCAGGGCUUCAGGAUCGGCAAGUACUUGCAAAUGAUUAAUUAUGCAUGCAGUUCAUUUGACGCACCUUGUCUUCGCUGGUCUUGGAGGACGGAGUGCAACAGGCAAGGCAGGAGGGUUUCUUACGAAUUAAGGUUUUGGUGCGGAGUAGAGUGAAAUUACGACAGCGAGGCCGUUUAAAGGAGCAGUUAUGGCGAAGAAGACUUAACGCACGGAGUGGUACAGCGCCAUUUCGCUGCCAACUUACGAGAUUGUCACCUCUCAGCUGUUGUAUAUGGUGAUUAAGUUGAAAUAUGGGAGAAGAUUUAGUGGCCUUUAUGUGACAAAAGGUUUCAAUGUUAAUAACACCUGUGAUCCUCCAGAAUUGUUGACAUCAUUUACAGUGGGCACUUAAUUGGAAUAAUGCUUAACACAAAACAGAUUGAUUCAGUCAAGAGGUGAUAAGCUUGGUAUAUAGUGUAUUUUUCUUCAAGCAAAAGAAGACUGGUGGAAGGGAACUGCAAAACUCAACCAAGCAUCAACAAGGAUUAUCAUCAUUUCAGUUGAGAAAUUAUAGCUGUGAUAGACGGACAAGGAGAACUUCAGAAGAUAUGAACAUUAAAAAACUUUUUUGUACCCGUUGUAUCAGUUUUGAGGAAAACAUGUGUAACAAAACCAAUUAAAAAU
Molecule: non-coding RNA, 916 nt
Organism: Pocillopora verrucosa
Lineage: Eukaryota; Metazoa; Cnidaria; Anthozoa; Scleractinia; Pocilloporidae
Source: RefSeq, a predicted model, not a curated record